GAAAGGACUGCUAAGACUGGAUAGGAAACAAAAAGGCAUCUUUUUGUUUUUAAAAGACCUUCUUAGAAAGGUAUGCUUAAAGAGGGGCUUGCGCCACAUUAGUUAGUUGGUAGAGUAAAAGCCUACCAAGACGAUGAUGUGUAGCUGGACUGAGAGGUUGAACAGCCACAUUGGGACUGAGACACGGCCCAAACUCCUACGGGAGGCAGCAGUAGGGAAUUUUCGGCAAUGGAGGAAACUCUGACCGAGCAACGCCGCGUGAACGAUGAAGUAUUUCGGUAUGUAAAGUUCUUUUAUUGAAGAAGAAAAAGUAGUGGAAAAACUAUAUUGACGUUAUUCAAUGAAUAAGCCCCGGCUAACUAUGUGCCAGCAGCCGCGGUAAGACAUAGGGGGCGAGCGUUAUCCGGAAUUAUUGGGCGUAAAGGGUGCGUAGGCUGUUAGAUAAGUCUAUAAUUUAAUUUCAGUGCUUAACGCUGUCUUGUUAUAGAAACUGUCUUGACUAGAGUGAGAUAGAGGCAAGCGGAAUUCCAUGUGUAGCGGUAAAAUGUGUAAAUAUAUGGAGGAACACCAGAAGCGUAGGCGGCUUGCUGGGUCUUUACUGACGCUGAGGCACGAAAGCGUGGGUAGCAAACAGGAUUAGAUACCCUGGUAGUCCACGCCGUAAACGAUGAGUACUAAGUGUCGGGGUAAAACUCGGUACUGAAGUUAACACAUUAAGUACUCCGCCUGAGUAGUACGUACGCAAGUAUGAAACUUAAAGGAAUUGACGGGACUCCGCACAAGCGGUGGAUCAUGUUGUUUAAUUCGAAGAUACACGAAAAAUCUUACCAGGUCUUGACAUACUCUGCAAAGCUAUAGAAAUAUAGUGGAGGUUAUCAGGAAUACAGGUGGUGCAUGGUUGUCGUCAGUUCGUGUCGUGAGAUGUUAGGUUAAGUCCUAAAACGAGCGCAACCCUUGUCGUUAAUUGCCAGCACGUAAUGGUGGGGACUUUAACAAGACUGCCAAUUAAACAUUGGAGGAAGGUGAGGAUUACGUCAAAUCAUCAUGCCCCUUAUGAUCUGGGCUACAAACGUGAUACAAUGGCUGUGACAAAGAGUAGCUGAAACGCGAGUUUUUAGCCAAUCUCAAAAAAGCAGUCUCAGUUCGGAUUGAAGUCUGUAACUCGACUUCAUGAAGUUGGAAUCGCUAGUAAUCGCGAAUCAGCAUGUCGCGGUGAAUACGUUCUCGGGGUUUGUACACGCCGCCCGUC
Molecule: ribosomal RNA, 1249 nt
Filed under: Candidatus Phytoplasma trifolii
Lineage: Bacteria; Bacillati; Mycoplasmatota; Mollicutes; Acholeplasmatales; Acholeplasmataceae
Description: bacterial SSU rRNA
Rfam family: Bacterial small subunit ribosomal RNA
Source: RNAcentral